CAACAACAGACGUAACUGGCUGUUUUCAAAAACUUGCGUGCUUUCAGUGAUUGUUCAACCAAAGAAUCCUCGGGUAAUUUUCUGAUUUAGCCUAUUUUCAGGCGAUCUUAGACGCUCUUCUGUCACUGAAGAAGAGGGUAGUCAGAUCCACAGCAUCUCCAUUCCAGCAGCUGUACAUCAUCAUGACUAGGACCAAUGGUGAAAGGUUGGAGCGUCCUAGUGGCAACACGGCAGGACCGUGAGAGCACCAGCCCUACCGGACCCUGGCUCCUGUGGUUUGCUUCGGUUUGAAGCCAACCUCACCUUUCCGUCAGCACUGCCUUAAGUUGGCCGUUAGCCCAUAUCCUUUGGAUCCUGGAUUUCCUUGUUGAACCUUUUGGGGUCCAUAUGGGAAUCUCCUUCACCGUGUCCCCAAUGCGACUGUUCAGCAGAAUUGACGAGAUGUGAAGGUUGGUGUCCAUGUUCCUAAGCAUCCUACCCAUGGUGGGAAAUGUCCUCACACUCUAUGCACUUGUCAUCUACAUCUUCGCCAUCGUGGGAGUCCAGCUAUGGGUGGGGGACCUGCGCCACCGCUGCUUUCUGGGAGAGGACAUCCCUGUACUGGCAUACGGCACUGCUCAGACAUACUUCCUCUCCGUGAAGGAGGGAACACCUGUUUGUUGGCUGCUCCCCAGCAGGAGCCAUUGUCAGAUCCCCCUGUUGGGCUGGUCGCCAUGACAAAUCUUAGUGGCUGCGUUAACUGGAACGCCUACUACAACGUGUGUCGUCCCGGGAAACAUAACCCAAACCUGGGCUCUAUCAAUUUCGAUAAUAUUGGCUAUGCCUGGAUUGCCAUUUUUCAGAAUGCUCUCCGGACUUCCCGUGCCUCGGCCUGCACCGCCACACUAACUUUGAGAACUUCUUGGUGGCCUUGCUGACUCUGCACAAAGUCAGCACCGGACACAACUGGAGCGGCAUCCUGAAAGACACGAUGAGGGGGUGCCAGUUAGGCAACAGUGCCUGUACCAGCUACCUGACUUGGGCUUCUCCCAUCUUCUUCACCACCUUUGUCAUCAUUGUCCAGUUUGUGCUUGUCAACCAGGUGGUGGCAGCAAUCACGCAGGCGCUGGAGGACAGCUCCAUGAAACGAGACCUGCUGCCUUAAUCAGAUGUGACAGGAGAAGUGACGGCCAUCACAGCCUUCCUGGCCGGAUUUGCAACUCAUCACUACAGGGUAAUAACUCCUGUCAGAUGUUACAGGCCUGCUCACUGAAGGCCCUUACUUCAUUUACCUGAAUAAAGGAAUUCAUUGCUUAGCUCAUGAAAAGUUCCUUCGGCCAUGUUGGCCUUGAUGUCCAUUAAUCUGAACCAGCUUUCAGUAAAAUUAAAAUAAAAU
This is a long non-coding RNA of Girardinichthys multiradiatus, 1375 nucleotides long. RefSeq lists it as uncharacterized. Lineage: Eukaryota; Metazoa; Chordata; Actinopteri; Cyprinodontiformes; Goodeidae. The transcript is spliced from 8 exons. The record is from RefSeq and is a predicted model, not a curated record.